Amphiprion ocellaris (clown anemonefish) is the source of this 183-nucleotide small nuclear RNA. Its record names the gene U4. It matches the Rfam family "U4 spliceosomal RNA". From Rfam's summary of the family: U4 small nuclear RNA (U4 snRNA) is a component of the major U2-dependent spliceosome. The structure of U4 snRNA from yeast and human has been reported. The record is from Ensembl. Lineage: Eukaryota; Metazoa; Chordata; Actinopteri; Pomacentridae.
AUGCUUUCGCAGAGGCAAUUUCAUAGUCUGUGAAGUCUUACUGAGACGUGAUUAUUGCUGGUUGAAAACUUCACCCAGACUUCCGGUUCCGCUAGCUAGAGCAUGGCUGCGUGAGGAAUUUGAGCUCGACGGAUUUUUAGAUAAAUAACCCCCAACAACACUUUUUGGCAAAGACUGGUGAUU